Molecule: long non-coding RNA, 1244 nt
Filed under: Cottoperca gobio
Lineage: Eukaryota; Metazoa; Chordata; Actinopteri; Perciformes; Bovichtidae
Description: lncRNA (ENSCGOG00000004417.1)
Source: RNAcentral
AGAUUAAAUACCGAUGAGUUAAUAAUUUGUUCACAGAUAAUAAAACGUGCAGCGUUACCGAAAGUGAUCAGUUCGUACAGUAAGAUUCCAAAGGACCACGUGCAGGGAGGAGAAAGCGUGAGUAAACGUUUUGACGUAACGUUUCUUUGUGUCGUCAGACAUGAAGUGUUCUUACACGUCGCUCCAGUUGAUGCUGAGCUGCAUCAUGAUCCUUUCCGGAGCCUGCCACUUCAGCGGCACCUCGGCGCAGACAAUGACAAAAUGGUUCCCAACCCCUGCCCUACCCGGAGUAGGCAAUCCACCGGUUUCCUGCUGAGAGCCAUGGCCUCAGAUUUGGAGGUGCUGAUCCUCAUCCCAACCGCUUCACACUCAGCUGCGAACCGAUCCAGCGACUGUUGAAGGUCACAGACCGAUGAUGCCAUAAGGACCACAUCAUCUGCAAAGAGCAGCGAUGAGAUCCUCACGCAACCCCUCUCGAUACGAUAUCCUGUCCAUGAAAAUCACAAAAAGGAUUGGUGAUAAAGCGCAGCCCUGGCGGAGGCCAACAUUCACUGUGAACGAGUCAACUCUCACUUUGGGCUGUAAUAGCAAUUUAAAUGUCUACUGUUUUAAAUAAUGUUCUAAUAAUGUUACAAGUGAUGAUCUGCCUAUUUCUCUUUCUAUGCAUUUGCAAAACUUUACAAAUUCCCUUAUCAAGCCAGGGUCAACUGCCUUUUCUUGUCUUAAUGGGGGAGGCAUUGUAAAAUAGGACACAGAUGGUCCUCUCUCUUUAGAUUUACAUACUGAUUAACUCUCUGAGAAAGAAUCUUGGGUGUGCCAUUUGUUUUAGUGUUUACAUAACUGUUAUCAAGGAGACGGUCAUGAUACUAUUUUGCUCCAAGAAACAAAUGUCUAUGUAUAUAUACCCAAAGCUAAAAGGUUUGAGUUUCCCAGGACUGAGUUCAUCAGAUUGGAGGAGAUGACCUUACAAACAUCAAAAGGAACUAAUCUAACAGAGAUCAUCUUUGGUUUGUUGCUUGUUUACAGUGAAUAACAGAUGUGCUGAUCAAUCACCUAUUGACUGAUGUUUUAUUGUUCUAUAGGUCAUCAGCAGGUUGUCCCCUGUCUCCUGCUGUGUUUAUGACUCAGUCACUAAAAAGUCAAGGAACAAGAGUGUAUAAAUUGUCUAUGUAUCUUCAUUCAAACUGUGCCCUCCUACAGACUAUGUUGUAUUCUGUAGAACUGGUGCCAAUUUGAGAUCUCAA